RNAcentral lists this ribosomal RNA (275 nucleotides) under Streptomyces buecherae. RNAcentral's name for it is "partial 16S ribosomal RNA". It matches the Rfam family "Bacterial small subunit ribosomal RNA", at positions 1270 to 1533 of the family's 1533-position model. The record is from RNAcentral. Lineage: Bacteria; Bacillati; Actinomycetota; Actinomycetes; Kitasatosporales; Streptomycetaceae.
AAUCUCAAAAAGCCGGUCUCAGUUCGGAUUGGGGUCUGCAACUCGACCCCAUGAAGUCGGAGUCGCUAGUAAUCGCAGAUCAGCAUUGCUGCGGUGAAUACGUUCCCGGGCCUUGUACACACCGCCCGUCACGUCACGAAAGUCGGUAACACCCGAAGCCGGUGGCCCAACCCCUUGGGGAGGGAGCUGUCGAAGGUGGGACUGGCGAUUGGGACGAAGUCGUAACAAGGUAGCCGUACCGGAAGGUGCGGCUGGAUCACCUCCUUUCUAAGGAG